Molecule: long non-coding RNA, 827 nt
Organism: Homo sapiens (human)
Lineage: Eukaryota; Metazoa; Chordata; Mammalia; Primates; Hominidae
Gene: PLAC9P1
Product: placenta associated 9 pseudogene 1
Source: Ensembl
CUGGGCCGGCCGGGCGCGAUCCGGGAAGGGCGGCUGCGGUCGCAAGCCGCGCUGCUUUCAGCCAGGCUGGCACCAUGCGGCCCCUGCUUUGCGCGCUGGCCGGGCUGGCCCUGCUCUGUGCCGUGGGCGCUUUGGCCGAUGGUGAGAGCGCUGAUGACCUAGCCCAAAGGCGGCUGGAAGGUAGGAGGGUGCCUUUCUUUGAGGACUGCUUCCCAGCAUCAAGGACACCUUUUCUCUGAGUUCCAUCUCACAGGCUGAUCUUUUAAAUAGACCUCAUUCCUCCAAUUUCCUGCAGUCAUGAAGUUAGACAUUUCUGGGAUUCCGUUUCCUGAAAUGCAAUGUUUCCUGAAUGCCAUUAAGGUGCUUCUCCUGGGAGUUGAACCUGCCUUUGGAUGGAGCCCUUUCCUGUGGAAACACGGGAAUCGGUUCUAAGAAGCAGUAAGAAAGCCAAACAAAGCCACAGCAGAAGCACCUGGCACUGUUUAGAAUGCUGCACAUCUGAGACUAUCAGUGGUUGCAGAGAGGGGGCUAAGGGUCGGGCUUGAUGACGGUGUGUGACCACUCAUGGGACAGAGUGGUCUUUAACUGGAGGGAAAAUGCUCGUGCCUUGAUGUGAAGUGGGAAAAGACCAAUACAAAGACAUGGUGGUAUCACUGCAAGCAAAAGACUGCUUACAGACAAGAGGAAAGACUGGAAGGAAACACCCAGAAUGGCCAGUGGUCAGCUUUGGGACAUGAGUAUGACUGAUUUAAUGUAUUCCUUUAUAAUUUAGAAAAUGUUCUGUGGUGGGCUUUUGACAAUUGUUGAAUAAAGGUUGUAUAACAAAA